AUUGAACGCUGGCGGCAGGCUUAACACAUGCAAGUCGAGCGGGGUGAUGGUGCUUGCACUAUCACUUAGCGGCGGACGGGUGAGUAAUGCUUAGGAAUCUGCCUAUUAGUGGGGGACAACAUCUCGAAAGGGAUGCUAAUACCGCAUACGUCCUACGGGAGAAAGCAGGGGAUCACUUGUGACCUUGCGCUAAUAGAUGAGCCUAAGUCGGAUUAGCUAGUUGGUGGGGUAAAGGCCUACCAAGGCGACGAUCUGUAGCGGGUCUGAGAGGAUGAUCCGCCACGCUGGGACUGAAACACGGCCCAGACUCCUACGAGAGGCAGCAGUGGUGAAUAUUGGACAAUGGGGGGAACCCUGAUCCAGCCAUGCCGCGUGUGUGAAGAAGGCCUUAUGGUUGUAAAGCACUUUAAGCGAGGAGGAGGCUCUUUUGGUUAAUACCCAAGAUGAGUGGACGUUACUCGCAGAAUAAGCACCGGCUAACUCUGUGCCAGCCGCCGCCGUAA
This 503-nucleotide ribosomal RNA is filed under the name uncultured bacterium. RNAcentral's name for it is "partial 16S ribosomal RNA". It matches the Rfam family "Bacterial small subunit ribosomal RNA", at positions 30 to 523 of the family's 1533-position model. The record is from RNAcentral.